CUCAGGAUGAACGCUGGCGGCGUGCCUAACACAUGCCAGUCGAACGAAGCACUUUGAUUUGAUUCUUCGGAUGAAGAUCUUUGUGACUGAGUGGCGGACGGGUGAGUAACGCGUGGGUAACCUGCCUCGUACUGGGGGAUAACAGUUAGAAAUGACUGCUAAUACCGCAUAAGACCACAGAGCUGCAUGGCUCGGUGGGAAAAACUCCGGUGGUACGAGAUGGACCCGCGUCUGAUUAGUUAGUUGGUGGGGUAACGGCCUACCAAGACGACGAUCAGUAGCCGACCUGAGAGGGUGACCGGCCACAUUGGGACUGAGACACGGCCCAAACUCCUACGGGAGGCAGCAGUGGGGAAUAUUGCACAAUGGGGGAAACCCUGAUGCAGCGACGCCGCGUGAGCGAAGAAGUAUUUCGGUAUGUAAAGCUCUAUCAGCAGGGAAGAAAAUGACGGUACCUGACUAAGAAGCACCGGCUAAAUACGUGCCAGCAGCCGCGGUAAUACGUAUGGUGCAAGCGUUAUCCGGAUUUACUGGGUGUAAAGGGAGCGUAGACGGCUGUGUAAGUCUGAAGUGAAAGCCCGGGGCUCAACCGCGGGACUGCUUUGGAAACUAUGCAGCUAGAGUGUCGGAGAGGUAAGUGGAAUUCCCAGUGUAGCGGUGAAAUGCGUAGAUAUUGGGAGGAACACCAGUGGCGAAGGCGGCUUACUGGACGAUCACUGACGUUGAGGCUCGAAAGCGUGGGGAGCAAACAGGAUUAGAUACCCUGGUAGUCCACGCCGUAAACGAUGACUACUAGGUGUCGGGGAGCAAAGCUCUUCGGUGCCGCAGCAAACGCAAUAAGUAGUCCACCUGGGGAGUACGUUCGCAAGAAUGAAACUCAAAGGAAUUGACGGGGACCCGCACAAGCGGUGGAGCAUGUGGUUUAAUUCGAAGCAACGCGAAGAACCUUACCUGCUCUUGACAUCCCUCUGACCGGACAGUAAUGUGUCCUUUCCUUCGGGACAGAGGAGACAGGUGGUGCAUGGUUGUCGUCAGCUCGUGUCGUGAGAUGUUGGGUUAAGUCCCGCAACGAGCGCAACCCUUAUCUCUAGUAGCCAGCGGUUCGGCCGGGCACUCUAGAGAGACUGCCAGGGAUAACCUGGAGGAAGGUGGGGAUGACGUCAAAUCAUCAUGCCCCUUAUGAGCAGGGCUACACACGUGCUACAAUGGCGUAAACAAAGGGAAGCAAGCCUGCGAGGGUAAGCAAAUCUCAAAAAUAACGUCUCGGUUCGGAUUGUAGUCUGCAACUCGACUACAUGAAGCUGGAAUCGCUAGUAAUCGCGAAUCAGCAUGUCGCGGUGAAU
RNAcentral lists this ribosomal RNA (1343 nucleotides) under uncultured bacterium. RNAcentral describes it as "bacterial SSU rRNA". It matches the Rfam family "Bacterial small subunit ribosomal RNA", at positions 23 to 1367 of the family's 1533-position model. The record is from RNAcentral.